CUGAUUCCAAUGUAUGGCCCUCCAUAUGUCCUUAAACCACAGCCCAGAAUCCAGUUCAACAGCCACUUGGUCCUUUUUGAUAUAUACAAUGCGUAGUGAGUCUAUGUUCCUCCCCUACUAGGACCUCUAUUACAGAGCCUAAAACUGGGUCUGGAAAUGGACUGGUCCCACCUACUCAUUAAUAGGCCAGGGUAUGUGUUAAGCAGAGAUUGCUGCUGUUGACUGGGGGUGAAGGUGUAUCCAGGUGAACUACAGCUCCCAGUGUUCCUGACAGCCAUUGUAGCUCAGCAACUGAUCAAGACAGCAGAAAUUUUAGAUUUUAAAUUGGCUGCAGGCUUCCCAUUCACAUGGAUUUCUUUAAGGUUUUAGGAAUCAUAGGAAACAGUGUUUCUCGGAUGGAAACAUUAUCUUAGAAAUAAACCCUAAUCUCAGACAGAAGACGAUACUCUUUACAAUUUCCACUGGGUCAGCAACACGCUCCUUUUCUUUCCCUCUUCCUUGAAGGUUUUUAGGGUUGCCUUUUAAAAAUGACACCAUUCAAUUCAGUUGUUUCUCGUAGGGACAUGGCACAAAGGGACCCAAACCAUCGAGGUCAAAAAAAUGUAAAGUGACUGAGAUAUCAGAUGGUUGUAUGAAUAUUAAAUGGGCUUUGUUCAUCAUUUAUACAGCCACAUGCCUAACGCCAUGUUGUCUUCAAGUACAGGUUCAUCAAGAGCCAAUUCAUGAAUAUCCCCGCCUGGCUACUGUUUAAUUAUAGCAGGAGAAAGGGAGCAUGGCUAUAAACGUCCUACUAAGAGCCUCAUUUUCCAAUAGAUUGCAAGUCAUGCUCUAAUGUCCAAUGAACUAUGAAUCCAAUAAAUGUUCCUUGAUGUUUUUGCUUA
Xenopus laevis (African clawed frog) is the source of this 881-nucleotide long non-coding RNA. RefSeq lists it as uncharacterized. The transcript is spliced from 2 exons. The record is from RefSeq and is a predicted model, not a curated record. NCBI's taxonomy places the organism in Eukaryota, Metazoa, Chordata, Amphibia, Anura, Pipidae.